This 33327-nucleotide long non-coding RNA is filed under the name Coffea arabica (coffee). Its description in RNAcentral is "long non-coding RNA (CARA_LNC003900)". The record is from RNAcentral. Lineage: Eukaryota; Viridiplantae; Streptophyta; Magnoliopsida; Gentianales; Rubiaceae.
UUUUUUUUUUUGUCUCUCCUAGAAUUUAAUCUAAUCUAAUCGAGGGGAGGAGGGGGAGGGGGACUCGAUGUGACUCUAUCGAACAUGACCAAUUAAGAUCGUCAUAAAUUGUAACAACUUUUUGGGUGAGAGACAAGGAUCGAACCCUUAAUCUCCCGCACCACCAAUACUUUUAAAGGCUUCUAUGCAAUUAUUUGAUUGUGUAUAUUUUACACAAUCUGGCAUACACUAAUAUUAUUAAUUUAAUAUAUGAAUAAAACUACAUUGAUAAACAUACACCAACAUCUAAAAAAAAACAGAAAAAUGAUAUUAACACUUCCAAAAAAGUUUCUAACACUCCAUCCUCCCUUUAAAACAUAUAGAGACGAUGUAUUGCAGGAAGAGCACAAAAAAGGGACGGGAUGGAGGAUAGAAUGCUCGGGACUCUCUUUUUUUUUUUUUUUUUUUUUUUUUUUAAAGUGCCAAUAAAAUCUCCCAAAAAGUAUCAAACCUCAAUUGUACAUUUGUACUUGCUCCAAUUCCCUUCAAAUUGUGUAGAAUGUUAUUGAUCCUAUCCUAUUGAAUUAAUGCAGCAGUCAUCGUAGACUUUGCGACUGACCUUGCAUCCUUCUUCAAUUACACCCACCAAAGAACACCAAUAACCAACCUAGAAAAAAAAAAAAAGAAGAAAAACACCACUAGCCACAAGCACGUGUUUAACGCUGUACUUCUAUUUAGCAAGAAGAAAAAUAAAAACGUCAGUGACACGGGGUCGCCAAUUGCUUCAGUAUAAGAGUAGGAGCUUCCCUCAGCUUCUUCGCUACAACAAUCCCCCUAAAGAAAACUAGCCAAUGGCAUCUCUUUCAACUCCCCUUCAAAGCUCCACUGCCUACUCCUCCUCCUCUACUCUGUCCUCCUGCCCUUUCUCUACGAAGCCAUCACAGUUUUACCUCAGUGCCAAACGUAACUAUCACCAGUUCACGGUUUCAUGCAAAAACAAUGAAAGCCAUGAACAAGUUAACAAUCUUGAUAGGAGGGAUGUGCUUUUGGGCUUGGGUGGCCUUUAUGGCGCCUCAAACCUCAUCAUCAACCCUUUUGCCAUGGCAGCUCCUAUAGCUGCCCCAGAAAUCGCCAAAUGCGGUCCACCGGCGGACUUACCUUCAGGAGCAGUUGUCACUGACAAUUGCUGUCCGCCGGUGCCCGGCAAAGUCAUUGACUACAAACUCCCUCCACCACCUAAGGUGAACCGUUUUAGGCCAGCUGCUCAUUUGGUCAAGAAAGACUACAUUGAAAAACUUAACAAGGCGGUCGAGCUCAUGAAAGCUCUGCCAGCUGAUGAUCCCCGUAAUUUUACCCAACAAGCAAAUGUUCAUUGCGCUUAUUGCAACGGUGCCUACAUCCAAUCAGGCUCUGAUCAAGAAAUUCAAGUCCAUAACUCGUGGCUAUUCUUUCCUUUUCAUAGAUGGUAUUUGUACUUCUAUGAAAGAAUCUUGGGAAAGCUAAUAGGCGAUCCCAGUUUUGGACUGCCCUUUUGGAACUGGGACAACAUUGGUGGUAUGACCCUACCGUCCAUAUUUCAGGACCAAUCGUCAGCACUGUAUAACCAAAAUCGUAACCAAAGUCAUCUGCCACCAACAGUCGUGGACUUGGGGUAUAAUGGUACGGAUACAGAUGCAACAGACAUAGAAAGGAUAAAAAACAAUUUGGCAAUCAUGUACCGUCAAAUGGUCACUAAUUCCACCACUGCCAAAGAUUUCUUUGGAAAGGAAUACCGGGCCGGCGAUGCGCCCAGCCCGGGUGCAGGGUCCAUCGAGGCCAUUCCCCAUAUCCCAAUCCACAGGUGGGUCGGCGAUCCAAGGCAGCCAAAUGGUGAAGAUAUGGGUAAUUUCUACUCAGCUGGAAGAGAUAUUGUGUUCUAUAGCCAUCAUGCAAAUGUGGACCGGAUGUGGACAAUUUGGCAGCAAUUGGGAGGUAAAAGGAAGGAGGUCCCCGAUCCAGAUUGGCUGAAUUCUUCCUUCAUUUUCUACGAUGAAAAUGCUCAGCCUGUCUGCGUGAAAGUUGGUGAUUGUUUUAGCAAUGAUAAAAUGGGAUAUAUUUACCAAAAGGUGGAUAUUCCUUGGGUCAAGAAUAAGCCCGUGGCCCGCGUGACAAAAUCUAGGGUGGCUUUCACUUCCGGGGCACCACAAGCUGAUAAGGUCUUCCCGGGACCCCUUAACAAGACCGUGAAAGUGUUGGUCAAGAGGCCCAAAUUAUCAAGAAGCAAGAAGCAAAAGGAGGAGGAGGAAGAGAGAUUGGUGGUGUCCGGGAUCGAGUUUUCCAUGGACAAGUAUGUUAAGUUUGAUGUUUUCAUUAAUGAUGAAGAUGAUAAUCCAAACGAUUUUGCUAAGUCCGAGUAUGUUGGGAGCUUUGCACAUUUGCCACACAAGGUUAAAGGUGACAUGAAAGUUAAGACUACUCAAACCUUUGAGUUGACUGAGAUUUUGGAGGACUUAGAUGUUGAAGAAGACGAUGCCCUGUUGGUGACUUUGGUGCCAAAGUCCAAAACUGCUCUUACCAUUGAUAGCAUCAAGAUUGAGGUUGCUGCUUGAUUCACCUGCUAGUACUUUUUUUUUUUUUUUUUUAAUCUCCUCCCUGGGAAAAAAUCUGGCAUUAGAUUUCAUCGAUUGCUUUGAUUUUGACCUAUGCAUGCAUGUUUCAGCACCAUGAAUAAAAUACUUCUGGUGUGCUUGUCACCAGUUAAUAAAAAUAUGUUUCAGCACCUAUCUGACAACGUCCCUUUUGGUUUUUCUUUUUGAAAAGUUUAAUUUACAUUAAAGUUUAAGAUCUUAUGACGCCAUCUAUCUAACUUUCUCCACUCAAAAAAAAAAGGAAAAAAAAAGAAAUAGAAAAAGACAAUUCUUCCUCAAUCAAAAUUAAAUUUUUCUGUGCGUAUCCAGAAGGAAAACAAAAAGUAAUCCUCAAGUACCACGUUUGGCAAAGCUUACAAGUGUUAGCUUCCGAUUCGCCAUUUCAAGUAGUCAGAUAGACUAUACAUUUAAUUUACCAAAAUAUAGGAGAGUAUUUUUUUUUUUUUUUUGAAAAAGAAUAUAGGAGAGGUUACAAAAAGUAAGGGAAUUCUACAAUAAUAAUGAUCCUUGCUUUUUGUGUGUUGAGGAAAGAGGUGAUUUCUUAAAUUUGUGCGAUCCCACUUUUCAUUUCAUAUACCACUUUUGAUUUCAUGUGCAACCUUAUUAAUUUGUGAAGACAGAACUUUAUAUUCUCCUACUUUCACAAUCAAUAGUUCAAUACAUAAGAAUAUCUGCAGCACAUGUGAAAGCUUGAUCAACAACAAAGGAAUUGAUUAGUUUCUAGCUCAAGUUGCCUAAUGAUUCAUAGGAAUGAAAGUUAAAAGGGCUUGACCCCGGCUCCUAUUUUUUAAUGUACAUUUACUUUAUAGGAAUAGGGUAAUAAUAUGCCAACCUACCCAAAGUUUCACGACCACGACAUGGAUCUCCCCUUGAAUUCUUGGAAGUGUAAUUUAGUGUUAAGUGUAUAAUAUGAGCUGUUAUACAUUUUUCUUAGAAUUCUAAGGGCGUUCUUGUUAUAGUGAGCAUCCACUUAAACACUAACAUCUUCCUUGUGUGCAACUGCUUCUUGUAAAACGAUCUAAGCAAGUGUCUUUAAAAUUCUUGGUCCGACUCUUAAGUCCUUGUUUUCUUCAUUUUUCCCUUAUAAUGCUUGAAAUUUUCUUUGAACAAUUAAAAGAAAAGUUGAAUAGGACAGAUAAAGAUUAAUAUAACUUUAUAUAAGUGAAUUCUCUAUUCUUGUAGAUUGAUUACCAUUCGAAAUAUUUGACAAACUUGGCUCUCUCACUCUGCAUUAAAUAGCUAUCGGUCAAAUUUACCAUAUAUUGCAGUCUUGUGGGACCAAGACCGACCAAUAAUUUGAUGCCAUCAAAAAUGCCUGUCGUCAUCAGAAUUUAAUAUGAUAGUAAAUGAGGAUUCUUGAAAAAGGGAAAAACGAGGGAAAAAAAACACACUAAUUAGUAAUUAUUAUGCUUAGCCUUGCAGUUGAAAUCUACAAUGAUAAAAAAAAAAAAAACUAAUUUUUGGUGUGAUGAUUAGCUGGUUUGUAUACUUGCAAAUUAAUUAUGGUGAACAGAAACCUAAUUUCUGUCCAAUGAAUUAUACAUUUGGAAUUUGUAGAAAAUUGAACUAUCUGUACAUCUGUCACUGCCACUAAAAUCAAUUGAAUGGUUGUAGUUUGGCCCUACAUUUGGAAAGAACAAAUAUGAAAAGGAAAUUACCAAAGGAAAAAAGAAUAAACCGACGAAAUUGGAAAAAGGCACAAAACCUCCCAUGUGAUAAAAAGUUCCUCUCUAUCCAAAUAAUAGAUAGGGGUAUUGGUUUUACUUUCUUGUAUUUGGACUUAGACAUAGUACUAGUGGUGGGGUCAUUCAACUCUAUUAAAAGAAAGACACAACACUACUGUGUUCGGCAUAUAACCAGAAGCUGUUGAUUUUCCUCUAUAAAUUUAUAAGGUCCAUCGGUCAUAACAAGAAGGCUAAAUAUAAUAAUAUUCACCAAGAAAUCAUGAUGGGCUUCUAUUAGUCAAUCGAGGGACAGGGCUGUUGAAGACCAAAGAUGCUCAUCACCGGGGAUUGAGAGACCGGAGAAGGAAGAAGUCCAUUUAUUCCAGACAUUGCAACAAACGUUAAGACUAAUUGGUUUUUCUGUCUUCUACCGGUCAUAUACAAACGUGAGGGACUAUUGUAGCUCUAGUUCUCGUGGGUGCUGGCAUGAUGAAGACUUUUCCCCUAUUUUGUGCAGACGAACGUUAGUUGUUUCGACGCUUGAAUAGAGGCGAGCAGGAAAAGUGAGAGUAUGCUAGAUUUCAUUUGAUACGAUAGAUAUUUUCUGUCCGGAAAAGGACCUGAUUUGAUGUUCAAAUGCAUCCAGCAUCCAUGAUGCUACGUUGCUUUGGAUUCGUUUUCACUUGUACGUAGCAGCGUUCCUUUACGUUCCCUUUGAUUUCUAAAGAACAAUCCAUCCAAUCGCUAACUACUCCUCCUCCCAAAUAUCAUCUCAACCUUCUAUUAAUUACUUCUAAUUAUCUAUUUGUAACAGCCAAACCUCUAUGCCAAACCAGAAAUUAUGUACAAUUCUUUCAUGAUUUUUUCCUUCUUCUUUUGCCUUCUGCAUUCGUAGAACCAAAGUAAUUCAUUGUAUCAUGUUCUUGACUCUGAGACUUGAACGUCUACAUCCUUAUAAUCACGUGUACAGACAACGAUACUCUGGUCCCGCAGCCAUUCUGGCCACCCACGAGCUCUUACGGAUAAAAUCCAUCCAACUAGUAAAGGAUAAGGCCAUUACUGAUUUUAGCCCCCUGGCGAUGCAAAUACAAAGACAAAAAACACGUACAACACCUGCAUUCCCGGAUGGAUUUCACUUUCGCGAGAUGCCAACGGCUGAAAAAGGACUAGCGAAGCUAUUCGGUCCAAUUUGCAUUUAAGAGGAGAAAAAGAAGGUGAAAAUUUCGACAAAUGCUUUGGGAUGAUAAAUAAAGAACAAGAUAAGAAGCCCCUCAAGGCUGAAGGCUAUGGACUGCAGAUCUUUUUCCACUUAAUAUUUGACUCGUUCCAUGCAUGGAUGAUGCACCUCUGGAAAUUUUCUAAACAAAGAAAAGAGUAGAGAAGUUACCUUCUUUGCAGUCUCUAAAGGACGAGCCCAUUCAUUGUUCCAAUUAUGUUCUUCAAUGAUUGCCCUACUCCCUUAGAAUUGAGAUUGGUCUGUCACAGCUUAUCAGGGGUCGUUAGUAUAAUGUAGCCAUUUGUAUGCCAUUUGGAUGUGUACUACACAAUCAGCAUGAGGCGCAAAGCAAAAUAUGUCUGUACUGUCAAAUCUGUACUACAUAAAUUUUAUUAGGUAGUAGUACACCACUUUCAUUCCCCCCCCCCCUCCAAAAAAAACCUUAUUUUAAUUUUUUUUUUUUUAAAAUUUUCAGUCACGUUAAGUGAAACUGUUUUAAGUUUUAACCAAGCUCUAACGGAUUUUAUUAGCACAUUUGGAUUGCUAUUUUUUGAGUUUUUUUUUAAAAAUAUAUUAUAACGAUAUGAUAUAUAAGAAGUUACAAAGUAAUCGAGAAAUGCAUUCACAGAAAACAUAAAAACUUUUUUUGAGACCAUCUGUAUCACGGGCCGGUUACGUGCAAUGGAAGACAUACUCUACAUUUUAUCGGUAGCCCAGUUCCAUCUCAUUGGGUCCUUCAUGUUUUUGGAGGUGGGGAGGAAAAAUACAGAACGCAGUUUAUUUGUGACAACUACCGUCUAGCUUCAUGAAGGAAAAAUUUAAAUCAAAUAAUCAGUUUUUAAAUAUGUUUUUUUGAGGUGAAAUUUUGAAGGAACAUUACCGCCCCAACCAAAAAUUUGUUUAUUCGGAGAUAAAUAAAAUUUGCUCUUCUCUUGACAUCUAAGGAAAAUCAAACGAAAAAUCAUUUACCAGCAGUGAUACAAGAAAUAUGACAUUUAUUUAUCUAUUUAUUUAUUUAAUAGAGAAAUAUGAAAUUAUUCAUCAAACAUUUGCAAAUCCAUGAAGAUGGGUACGGUCCAGAGAAGGCUAGCGAGACAUUUUAGAUUAUUUUAAAAUAGGUUGGGCAUUUUCUUUUUGCAUGUCAGCCCUUUUGUGAUGUAGGCUUUCUCUGAGAUCUCGGCCCAAAUAUUUAGUUCUUGGGAUUAAGGUAUACCUUGGGCUUGUUGGUUCACGGGGCCUAACACCAAAUUCCAGAUGGGCAUUACAAUAUUACAUGACACCAAAUGAGACAUUUGGGUGGGAUUGCAUCGCCAUUAGUUUUUUUUUUUUUUUUUGGGUUGAUGAGGAAUUCAAAGAAGAUUAAAUCGUUAUCAGAUGAAACAAAUGCCCGCUCAUCUGCUGGGAAAAUUUCCAAAUGAGAAUACGAACAAAUUAAUCUUGAGUACAAUAAAUAUGCUGUGCUCAUCUGAGCCAAGAAAAUUUGAGAAAGAUAAAUCCAUAUCUAGACUACAAAUGCUGUACUACUAGACAUCUUCUUGAUUUAAUUGCACAUAGAGUUUUAAUAACUAGCUGGUAUCUUGUACGUUGGUAAACAUCUACCUAAAGCGGGUUUGUUAGAAACAAAAAUAUUUCCUAACCUGUUCUUGUAUAUAUGUUGUUAAUAUACGUCUGGGUUGGCACGUACCAACGCUUCACUCUAAUGGUUGGAAGUGUCCGUAAACCCUAUCAUUUGUGCUUUCUGAUCAUUGAUACAUGGAAUGUUGAGAAUUGAAAAGUACAAUAAUGAAAUGAUCGUAUCCAAUGAUCAAGUACCAAUUCCUUGUCCAGAAUGGCAUGGAAAAACUUAUUUGAUACGAAUCCAACCGUGCUUGUAUUCCAACAACAGGAUCUAGACACGUGACUGCAAGGUUUGAUUGCACGAAACCCUAAACCUCCUUAGAAUCCCUUAGAUGAGAACUAAGACUAAUUCUUAAUCCUCAAGAAAAGAUUCAAGGAACUUAUGAUUUUGGUAGAAUGGUGCCACGAACAAUUUUGAUUCUUGUUUGAUAAGCCAAGAAGAAUACAUAGAACCAAUCUAAGAUAUUCAAAGGUUAACCGACGCUAAGAGAAUUACUGUUAAAACUGAAAUUUCUUUAUUGAUGAUUGAAUGAAUAAAACUCGGCCAACCCUUCUUUUUAUAGGGUUCAUGAACCGAAAUCCUAAGUAGCAAUGGAAAACGAUAUUAACUCCAACUAAUUCUAAACCUAACUUACUAAGGAAACUAUCAACCGAAUUUGGAAAGUGCUCUUACGCCCCAAAUGGACAAGGGCUGGUCAACUAAGGCCCACAUGGGCUGCCCAGCCUUAUUCUCAAGCCUAUACUAGACACUUAACUAGAUGAUGAGGCCCAUCAUGCAGUCCGCCCUCUCUCUAGUCAUCCGCGACUUCCUCAUGGAUUUGGAGUAGGCUCACCAUCGUGUGAUUGGACUCUUGAAUCCUUCUUAUGCGUGUAUGAACGAUUUGUAGAAAUGUUUGGAGGUUCUCUCGCAUCUUUCUUGCCCUUGCUAGAGUCAUCGGUCCAACGUUCAUUGAUGGUGCAUUUAGCGCCUCACUCGAGCCAUUUGAAUCAGCACCUUGGAGCCUUGGUGGUCCCUCGUAUCAUUCCCCUCCUCUUGAAAGCAAUUUGUUCGCAAAUUGAAACAUGAAUGAUGACAAAAGGAGUUACAUGCCGUUGAGUCAAUUUUGUUAUGAUUACCACAAGUUUCCUCCAAUGCAAAAACCACUUGCUAAAUUGGAAAGUAACCCUUGUUGAGCCUUGAAUCUUACGAACCAACUUCAAUGUAUGCUCAAUUUGAUCGCCUUUGGCCAUGAGGUAAGGAUCCUCAAAGUGAUGCGGCAUAGGUCCCAUGAAGUCGAAUUGCUCAAAUUUGAAUAAGCCUGCAAAGUAUGCAAACUGAUUUGGUGAAAUUGGACCUCACCACAACUCCUCCUUGGACCGAAGAAGGCUUUGGUAAGUCUCCCACCACAACUCCUCCUUAAAUGGUUCAACCUCAACCUUAGACUUGGAAGAAACUAAUGGGGUCUCUUUUCUCCUUGAAUAGGUUGGCUUUGUAGAGGUAGAUUGCUUAGAACUCCUCUUUUUUACAUCCCUAUUCUCUAUUCGAUCAAGUCGUUUGUGAAGAGGUUCAAAAGUUUCAUCCAAAAUCUACUUGAAUUCUUCCCUUAUUGCAUCUGCAAAAAGUUUAAAUUUGAAAGCUUGAGAGCUUGUUUCUCCCUCGUUAGCCAUGGUGAAGUGAAAACUGUGUAUUUAGCAGUGAAAGGAGAUAAUUUUACCUCACAUACUCCCUCAUGUGUAUGCACUCACACUCGUGUUUUCACACACUAAACUCUCUAAUUAUAAGCUCGCCAAAUAUUCUCAAAACUUUGAUUUCACCCUUGAAGAAGUUAGAUCAAUUCAAAAGUUGUUCAAUGGCCUACCAAGGAAAGAGUCACUUAGCACGUAAAUUGGGGAAUGUAUGUUUAGAGAGUCGAAGCUGAUUUUGGAAGCUCGAUUACUAAGAUGAAUAACUUAACUAAAACUUGACUCGGACUGAUCAACUAGGAGAAUAGACAAUUAGACUCAAUAAUAAAAAAAAAGGACUCAACCGACUCAAAUCAAGCAAGAAAGAUGGCUGUAGUUUUCGGAUCCUAAAAGGACUUACCCGACUUGCACUUGGCUAUUUUUUGAAGGUGUAAGACAAGGCUUCUUGGACCUUUUUGGGUAGGUGUUUCGGCUGAAUGUAGAGGUUUCCUACGUGGCACAAGGUUCCAAUUAGAAUUUGGUAAGCCAAGUGUAACUAGGAUUUGUUUAUAAACCCAAGUCAACUAGGUUUUCAAGUUUCAAUAGGUUUCCUUUAGUUGUAGAAUCGAUUCUGGUUUCCUCUUUGUUCUUGUUAAGUGGCUAAUUGUGCAUAUAAUUGGUACAUAUUAUCCCCUUUGUUUUGCUAAAAUAUGGCGUUAAUCGAUAUAUUUCACUCAUAUUUGAAUUUUGGUACUGUUUGUAGGAGUUGUUAGUGAGAAUGAAGUAAAAGGCGCGUUAAAAGUCGACUUUCCAGAAGACGUCUUGUAAAGCGUGCCCACGCCUUAUCAAACUCGAAGUGGUGCUUCUAAAGGUCCAUGUCCAAAAGAGCUUUCGUUAUAAAGCGUGCCCACGCCUUAUUUGGCAAAGCAGUCAAAAGUUCGCAAGACACAAGAUAAAUCUGUCAAUUGGUCAAGGAGCCGGUUGCAUCCCAUGGGCUGACACAUUAGCCACGGAUUGAAGACCUUGAGGGGCCAUGAUUCGAUGUAAUUAUUUUGGAAAUUCAAUUAAAAGGUCUUAGUUGGAUAGUUUAGGGGAACUAGGAGUCUUAAAAGGAAAGAGGAGCCUAUCCCCUAUUAAUAGGGGAGAAAACAGACGUGGGCUGGAAUUCAUCAUCUAUCUAAAACCCUUUUAUUCUCUCGUUGGUUUUAUCUUUGAAGGGAACGAGCCGUCAUCUUUAGAUUUCUCGAGAGGAAUGAAAUUACUAUGAAAACUUUGAAUGGCUUUGUUGUCAUGACUAUGCGGCAAGGCUAGAUCAUUUAUCUAGUUGAGGAAUAAAUCAAGGAUCGGGGUACCAUAACUGUGAGAUCGUUUUAAUUGUUCAUUUUUAAUUUGUAUGUUCAUGGGUAUUUGAUUAGUCUCUAUUUUUUCCUGAGUUAUUAUUGUUUAGAUUUUUUGGAUAAUUAGACCUGUUAUUCGAUUGUCUAAAUAAUUGAUAGCCAAUUAGGAUGUUGGCGCGUUGCCUUUAAGCAUCUUGAUUAGUGGCAAACGAGACAAUUUCACCGUCACGCAAGCGAUCUAAUUUGGAUCGUGGAAAUAAUUAAUCUAGCCUAAAUAAACCCGCAUUUGUGUUUGUUAUCUAGAAUUGGGUCUUUCUAAUUCCUAAUGCUGUGGCUACAUUAAAUCCUGUGAGCGUUUCUGGGGUUGUCUAAUCACAAGAGGGUAGUUUAUGAGCGUCUCUUGACUACCAUAAAAUUAAGGAAAGAUUGGUGGUUGGGCGCGUCGCUUGACCACUAUAACCAAUUUAUUCGUGAGUAUAUGAAUUGUCCCUUGUAUCUGUGAUCAGUUGUGUGCUUCGGUGCCAAGAUUAAUUCCUUGACUAGGUUGUUUUAGUUAAUUGUUAUUUGUGUAAUUUGGUUCCUGCUAUCUUACUCAACUUUGAAUUUCCGUUUUUACUCCUUUUUUAAUUAGUUGGUACUAUUGCUAAAAAUUCCCCCCCAUCUUCCUGUGUGAUUUGCCUAUCAGUUCCCUGAGGAGACGACCCUACUUGCCCUGUUUACAAAUUAAAUUUGAGAUUGUGUUGGUUGGCAAUUAGGCUGUUAUUUUUAACUUUAUUUUUGGAGGUUUGACACCCACCAGUUCUUUCUUGUGUUUCUUUUUUUUUUCUUCCUUUUGUAGUAUAGAACGUAACCAGAUUGCUUCUUUUCUUUCUUCCAAUUCGAACACAACUCAAAGCAAAAGCUCGGCUAUGUCUUGUGAGCAAGAGCAGCUGCUACUUCAAGAUUCAAGAACUAAAUUAAUUGAUUUCAAGAAAUUCAAGAAUCACCUACGAUUUUCAAGAUUUGCAUCCAAGAUCUUUUGGCAAUUCAAGAUUUGAAUCAAGACUUUCAAAAACAAGGUAAAACAGUCUUAUUGUAGUGCAAGACACAAAAAUUUUCCCACCCUAUUAUUCAAGAACCCUAAUCGCUUCAAAGAAAGUAGCGAUCAGAUUUGUUGUUGUAGUUUCAUUUUUUUUACGUCAACAAUUUUAAGACUCAAGAACAAAACAAUCAAGACGCAAAUAAGAACAACAAAACGAGAUAGAUUGGCAACUAAACUAAAAAAAAAAUUUUUACUAGUGAACACUGACUCCAGAUGAACAGUAGCGAUGAACAGUAACGAUGAACAGUAAUUUUUUUUUCUUUCAGAUUCACGAAUGACACAAAGAAAUACUAUGAACAAUAAGGAUAUAAUCUGAAAGUUGUCAACUAGCUCUGAUUACCGGAUGUGAUACACACUUGAACACGAUCUAGAUAAUAACAUUGACGGUUUGACACCGGAGAAUUUGAUCCAAUCUAAUUCUCAAAAUAGCGAACAAUAUUGAUACUAUCUCAACUCGUAACUUAACGAAUUAGCGAAUCAAAUUAUAGAUAGUAGAACGCCACAACCAAGGAGUUACUUGAUUGAUAAGUUCGGAAUGAAUAACUUGAGAAAGACUCUCAAUUAUUCAAAUGAGCUCUCUUGGAAAGAGAAAAGUGAAUAACUCACGAAAUUUUAUUGAUAAAAAAUUGAUUAUGAAGGUCCCUAACUUCGCCUAUAUAUAGCCAUACAAACUAGAAAGUCUAAAGUAAAUUGGAUUCACUUAAAUUAGAAAUCCUAAAGUGAAUUGAAUUCACUUAUUUACUAAACUAAUUAAUUCGGCUAACCAAGACAAAAUCUGGCCGAAUUUUAAUCUCUACUAAAUGACUCAAUUUGGCAAGGUAAAUGACAAACAAACCCUUGCUUAACACCACCAAAUAAAUGACACCACUUGGACUAAUUAGUUAACUAAAUUGAUUUGCUUGGACAAUCUUCAUGUUCUCAUCAUUCCCCUCCUCUUGAAAGUAAUUUUUCCACAAAUUGAAACACAGAUAGUGACAAGUAGGGGUGGCAAUUCGGGUCCAAAUCAAGUUGGCCGUGACCCGACCCGCCAACCCGUGACGGGUCAGGUAUACUGACUCAAACUCGAAAAUUUCAGGUUGACGGGUUGGCGGGUCGACCCGAAAUGACUCCAAACUUAAUUUUAAUUUAUUAAUUUAUCACUGUAAUUUCUAAUAAAAUUAAUUUCUCACAAAACUAAUUACAUAAUCAAGUAAUAAAAAUUUAAAUAAAUAAUUCCAAACCAAAUCUAAAAUAAAUUAAACACCGUAAAAGUGUGUUAUCCAAAACAAAAUAUAAAAUAAAUUAAAACAGUAUAAAAGUAAAAAAUAAUAUAAUAUAUUAUUUGUCCAAAUAUAAUAAUUUCAACUUCACACAAAUUAAAUAAAUUCAUUUAGGAUUAAGUAAUUAAUGCCUUUGAAAAAAAAGAAUAACUUAAUUUAGUUAGAUAAAAUUAUUUUUAUGUUUAUUAAAUUAUUUUUAAUUCGUAAACGGGUCAUAUCAGGUCACCACGGGUUGACUCGAAAUCGACAUGUUUUCUUUUCGGGUUCAUCGGGUUCAACACGAUUCUGACCCGAAUUCCCGAAACUUAAACCCAAAUCCAUUAAUUUUGUGUUAGAUUCGUGUCGUGUUUUCAAGUCGUGUCGAAAAUUGCCACCUCUAGUGACAAGAAAAGUUACAUGCCUUUAGUCAAUCUCGUUAGGAUGACUACAAAUGUCAUCCAAUGCAAAAAUCACUUGCUAAAUUGGAAAAUACUCCUUGUUGACCCUUGAAUCUCACGAAUCAGUUUCAAUGUAUGCUGAACUUGAUUGCUUCUGGUCAUGAGGUAAGGGUCCUCAAAAUGGUGUGAUAUGUAUCCCAUGAAAUCCAACUCAUGCUUGAAUACACUUGCAAGACUCCAAGGCAGCUUUAUUGGAGUUGGAUCUUCAUGUGGACUAAGGGCAAGAUGACAAUUGUAGUGGCAAUGAUCAUUAAGGAAUUCAUUCUUUGAACGAACCCUUGGUACAUAUCCAUCCCCAAAAUUUGGAAUGUUCCCUUCAAUAUGAGCUCGAAUUAACUCUCCAUUGGUGUGGACAGAUUUGAAUUGACAUUGUUCCAUGAAUUGAUGUCAAAGGGACUUAACUCUUGAAAGACAAACUCCAUGGAAACUUACAAGGUGUACAAUUGACUUUGGAAUGGAAUACACCAAGAUUACCUCAACUUGACUUUACUUGAUCUGUAUAAAAGAAGAAACACUAAACAAAACAAAGGUAAGUUCGUUAGGAAAAUAAUAGACCAUCAUAUUUUUGCUCAAAAUCAACUAACUUUCUCUCUUUUCUUUUUUUUUUACCACUCAUCUCAUCAGAUUUUUCCAUCUGCUUUUCUAGCUCAAUAGCUGACUUUUUCCUCUCAUUAUUCUCAACCUCUUUUUCCUUUUCAACUCCCUUGAAUUGUAUCUCAUCAGUCACAAUUCCCUCAUCUACCUUUUUCUUCAUACUAUAACACUUAUGCUCACUUUUCAUGUAUGUUAGAUCAAUACCAAGUUGGUCAUAAAUAAGUGAUACAAGUGCAGAAUGACGACCAUUAAAUAAGAAGGAAUACUUAUUAGUAUAUCCAUCAUAUUUAACUUCUCGCCUCAACAUCCAUGCUUUACCCAACAAUACAUGUGUCACUUGAAUUGGGACUACAUCACACAAUACCUCAUCCACAUACUUGCCAAUUUGAUUAGGUAUAAGUGUGUGCUUAGUAACCCAAACAUCACCAUGAGCACUCGACAACUUAUACGGUUGAAGAUGAUCAAUGGUUGAAAAAUUUAAUUUGUUAACCAUGAUAGCGCUUGCAAGAUUGACUUUGCAACUCCUAUCAAUGGCCAAGCUGCCGGUUUUAUCUUUGACAUCACAACGAGGAUAAAACCAACCAUGCAACUUAAAUUUUACAAUGUCCAACUGCUCAUCUAUACCACGUAAUGCCACUUCUUUAAUUCCCUUAGGAUCAGGAAGAAGAUGUUGUAAACUAGCUUUUAAAUGCCUCGUAUUCGCCAUGAUGUAUGAAAAAACCUAUAAAAAAAUUAGUGAAACAAAAGAUAUUUUUCUCACCACACAAUCUCACGUGUUUACACUCGUCACUUGUGUAUCACUCAAGUGUUUAAAACACUCUAAUACUCUCACUAAUCACUUCUCAAGUCACUUGACUGCUUCUCUUGAAGAAAUCAGAAUUUUUUUUCAAGAAAUUCAACCAAACUUCACUCAAGUUUUACCCAAAAUGUGGCGUAUAAUUGCUGAAAUUUUAGGGUUGAAUAGGGACUCAAAAAGGCAGCAAAACAUGAGCAAAACAUGCUGAAAUUUUCAAAUUUUAGUCCACAAAAAAGGUGUCCUAAGUGUUGGAAGUGUUUGACUUUGACAAGUACUCACUUUGGGAACUAACACCAAUUAAAUCCUAAACUGAUUUGGACUUGUUGUGGUAUAUUUAGACACGAAUUUAGACCUGAAAAAUACUAAAAAAUGAUGCUAUUCACUAUGGGACAGUUUGUAAACUACGACUCAACAAGGCAAAAAUUUGGCAGAAUUUUAGAAAACCUAGAUGAAACUCUACCCGAUUUGCACUAGGCUGGAUUUUUGGAAGUUGUAAGCAAGGUGUAAUGGGUUGUUUUUGGAUGGUUUAGUGGCUGAUUUUCUGGUUCUUCACGACUCCAAAGGUGACCAAUCAGAAUUUGGUAAUUUGAGUGCAACUAGGGUUUGUUUUGCAAACCCAAAUCAACUUGAUUUCCAAAUUCAAGUUGGUUUCCUUUUUGUUUUCUCCUUGUAAUUCGAUUUUGUUUCCUCUUUUUUUUUUUUCUUGCGUUUUCUUUCUUUCUUUCUUUCUUUUUGUAACGUAAUCAGCUUUUUUUUUCUUCAAUUCGGAUCACAACAAGAAACAAGAAUCUCGUUUGGAUAUUUGCACAAGAUCAGUCCAAUUCAAGAAACAAGAAUUAAAUUUUGAUUUGUUCUAGAUUUGUUUAAUCUUGGUUUCAAGAAUUUCAAGAACCAAACCACUACUUCAAGAUAGAUGUCAAGAAUUCCAACCGUGCUUGGCGAACUCGUAUUCCAAUAACAAGAUCUAGACACGUGACUUCAAUAUUUGAUUGCGCGUAACCCUAAACCCCCUUAGAAUUUCUUAGAUGAGAACUAAGACUAAUUCUUAACCCUAAAAAAAAGAUUAAAGGAACUUAUGGUUUUGGUAGAAUGGCGCUACGAAUAAGUGUGAUUCUUGUUUGAUAAGCCAAGAAGAACACUUAGAACCAAUCUAAGAUAUUUAAAGGUUAACCGACGCUAAGAGAAUUACUCUUAAAACUGAAAUUUCUUUAUUGAUGAUUGAAUGAAUAAAACUUGACCAAGCCUUCUUUUUAUAGGUUUCAUAAACAGAAAUCCUAAGUAGCAAUGGAAAACAAUAUUAACUCCAACUAAUUCUAAACCUAACUUACUAAGGAAACUGUCAACCGAAUUUGGAAAGUGCUCUAACGCCCCAAAUGGACAAGGGCUAGUCAGCUAAGGCCCACAUGGGCUGUCCAACCUUAUUCUCAAGCCUACACUAGACACUUUACUCGAUGAUGAAGCCCAUCAUGCAGUCCACCCUCUCUCUAGUCAUCCGUGGCUUCCUCAUGGACUUGGAGUAGGCUCACCAUUGUGUGAUUAGACUCUUGAAUCCUCCCUAUGCGUGUAUGAACGAUUUGUAGAAAUGUUUGGAGGUUUUCUCGCAUCUUCUUUACCCUUGCUCGAGUCAUCGGUCUAGGGUUCAUUGAUGGGUGCAUUUAGCGCCUCACUCGAGCCAUUUGAAUCAGCACCUUGGAGCCUUGGUGGUCCCUCGUAUCAUUAUUGCAUAUGAAAUGGGGCAACAUAUAUAUUUGGUGAACCAUAUCCAGUCUCACAAAUUAAUCUUGAGUACAAUAAAUAUGCUGUGCUCCAAGAAUUAGACUAGAGAUGGAUCUUCUGUGGUGUAACCGGGCAAUGACCGACCAACCAGUAGGCUAUGUAUAUUGUUGUUGGAGUAGUUAGAUUCACAUUUGAGCUUUCACAUGCGAUGUUUCCCUCAAAACAUUAACUAAUCCAGCUACCUAUCUCGGAUUCACAUUUAAUGUCACAAUUUAUUGUUCUUAAAUAUUUUUCUUUAUUGUGAAUAUAGGCAAUGUCACAGUCUUACCUCUGGACAACACACACAGUCCCGUGACUUUUUACUAAUUGAUAUUUAGGACCACAAUUCAAUGUUAUCAUGAUUUUUCAAUAACUAUUAAAUGAGAUUUUUUAUGAAUUUUUUGCUGUCUUUUUUAAUUUUCUAUUAUAUAUUACUUUUUUGAAACUGUUGUAUUUAUUUUUUACUCAAUUAAUAGUUAUUGAAGUUGCUGUAUUUAUUUUAUAAUAUUUUAAGUUUGUUAAAUUUUGUAUAUUACUCAAUUAAUAGUUAUUGGAUCUUUAAAAAAUAAAAAAGAACUAAAAUAUAAUGUUUAUGUAGGAGAAAUAGCAAUAUAAUAAAAAGUGGGACAGGGAGUGGCACAGGGUGUGGGACAGAAGAUCCGUUGCGCCCCUCGCAACGGAUCUUCUGUCCCACACCCUGUGCCACUCUCUGUCCCACUUUUUAUUAUAUUGCUAUUUCUCAUUCAUAAACAUCAUGUUUUAGUUCUUUUUUGCUUCCUUAUGAUUCAAUAACUAUUAAUUGAGUAAUACACAAAAUUUAACAAACUCAAAAAAUCAAAUUUUUUUAACUAGCCUCUGCAUGGGUCGGUCCUUUUUUUUUUUCCUCGCAACGAUAUAACAUAUUCUAUUCUAAUUUAGGGGGAGGAGGAGUCUAAGGAGGCUUGUGUCAAGGGCCAGUAGAUAUACAAAUCCAACUAGACCAAAAAAGUGUUAUGACACAACCCUUAGAACUUUUUUUUUUUUUACAGAUAAAAUUUGAAUCCUCACCUACAACCCAAGAAAAGAUUUAAAUCCCUUCCUGAUGGCCACUGAGCUAGACUCAGUGGUUAAUUGGCCAGGUCACUUGCGUUCUUUUAUACAAGGUUUAAUCGAUGUUUGCGUGAAAUUUUGUAACAGACCAUAUACGAUUCUUAUCUAAGGCCGUGAAGUAAGAACAAUUGCACCCAAAAAAGUGAUGUAAGAGUGAUCCAUGAAAAUUUCAUUUUACCAUAAAGAAAGAUCAGCAAUGCUGCCAAAGAUUGAAAAAUCUGGGUGCACAGUAUCGUAUUAGAGUGUAAGUUAAAAUUAGCAUCUGUACUCCUUACCCUUGUCUAGGCAUAUUAGAGUGUAAGUUAAAAUUUGAUAUUAGUAUUCUAUUAUGUCCAAAACACCUUUCUCUCUAAUUAUUAAUUAUUAGAUUUAUUGUAUUCUAAUAGUAGUCAAUAAUUGUAGCAGUUAGAAUUAGAAUCAUGAUAAAUAAAAUAAAACGAUCCAACCUGUCAUGUCUUUUUGCAUUCCAUCUUCCAUUUUUAUUUCAAUCUAGAAUUUUUAUUAAUCACAAUCUAAUUCAAUUUCUAAACCGUCAAAAUUAUUGCUAUUGAUACCAAAUCAAAAUGCUUUUUUUCCAAUGGAGUCGUUGUCAUUAGUGCUUUACAUUAGGUCUGCUUAAAAUAAUAAAAAAUAAAAUAACAUAAAAUAACAUAAAAAAGUAAAAAAAAAACUCAAUUAUCUCUACCAAUGAAAUUUUAGUUAUAAAAAAUGAAUAGUUGGAUAGGAAAAAAAUAUUUAUAGGCGGUGGAUCAUCAACACUCUAGUGUUAAAUGAAAUAACACACAAAAGAAUAUAAAGAAUCCAAUUUCAAAGAAUAUACAUUUCUUCACCCAUAAAAUGAUCUCCACCUCUACUUUUAUCCAUCAUGUGCUCCAAUCUAUUCUAGAUGAAUUACAGUAAUGUGAAUUAUAACAAAAAACAGAGAACAAAAAUUAAUGCCUACAUUAAAAAUUAGUAGUAUUUUAAUUGAAACAGCACUAAUGAUCAUUAACAUCUAACUAAAACAGCAAUAUCAAUCAUUUCACCUAUCAUUAAUACCAAAAAAAACUGAAAAAAUAACUAAAAUGGAAGAUAAAAUCAGCACAUGAGACGUGCGAGAACAGUGAACUAAAAAAAAGAAAAAUUUUGCUUAAAUAACAUCAAAGAGAACAUUCACAUCAGUGAAAAAGCAUACAUAAAGACAAUAAUAUAAUACUUGGAAACCAUAAAAAAAGAAAUUACAUCUUAGAUAUUCAGCAUUUUAGAAAUCUUAUAUUUCAAAAAAUAUAUACAUGCGGUGAUAAUAAGUACGUCUUAGAGUUUACCAAAACAUUUUGCCGAAUUUCCCAAAAUUAACUACCGAGUCGUAUGUUAUUGUAUUGAGUAAAAUCCUGUUGGGACUGACAAAAGUUGGUGCGCAAACUUACUUCCCUAACAUUUGAGCACUAUUUUUCCCCCACAAGAACGAGUAGCGUAUUAAGGUUUUCUCCUAGUCUCGUUUUAUCUCAUUUUUAUUUAUCUCUAUAGUUACUACAAAACUACGGACAAUCCGAAUUCAGGAAGCCAGAUUGGCCUUGUUUGGACUUCACAUGCUAUGCUUAAUUGCUAUUAAUUAGAUGAUGAUAUCUUUGUCAUUUGAUCAAACAGAUCCUUUACUGUAGGACGAAUACAUUUCUUUUAUGUCACCCUCUGACAUUUAAUCCACAAUUAGAAGUUUUGUUUCUUUCCACAAUUAGUGUUCUUGAUAAACUGUCAUUGAUUUAAAAUUUUUUUACAAUUUUGGGGCAUGUCAAGCUCAAAUAAGAGGAUCCUUGUGCACAUUGGAAUAGGAUCAUUUUCAUUUCUUUCCUUUCAGUGUAUAAUUCUUCAAACAAAUCAAAUCUCUCAGAUCAUUCGUUUCAGCUCGAACGGAUUGAAAGCUUUCAAGGGCGGCUGGGAGGAUUUGCUGUAAAUGCCAUUCCUCCAUGUACGUCCUUAUGCGGUAAAUGACUAUGACAUCGAUGAUAGCCCUCAACACACAUGACAGAGUCAGUCCAAGGACGAGGCUUCAUGGUUCAUUAUCAACAGUUAUGUAUCCGAAAAUUUACGUUCUCCUCCUCCAUAAUCUGUACAAGGUUCCCAGAAAGGGGGGGUGGGAAAAGGUAAUGAAUUUAGAUCCCAUGCAGAAACUGUUGGGGAAAUCGGGUAAUUUCCCACUCAAAAAUACAACUAAUGAUUAAACCGAUUCAGUAAUUCUCAGGAAAGAUCGUCGAAACAAUCUCCUUAGACAGAAUUACCAUUCCAAGUAAAUUCCCAGGAAAGGCUGGAGGGGUCACAAGCGGUCCCACUUAAAACCCAGUCUCCUAGACAGAACUUACGUGCACGGUGUAUUAUCACAACUAUACCCGUGUAUACAUAAAUAAUACGUAAACACGAAUAAGAAAAUACACCCAAAAGAAUCGUAUAAUACACUACAAAUAAACCCGACAAAUAUAUUGAAUACUAUACUAUAAUUGAAAAGAAACUGUUAAAUAAAUGCGGAACAAAAUAAAAGAGAUAAGGAAAGAACGCACCCGAAAAUUGAUAACGGAGUUCGGCCAAUUUUGCCUACUCUCCGAGCACCACUCAAGCAGCCCGCUUUUAUAAAUUUUGGGAGAAGAAAGACUUACAAAAGAAUUACAAAAUCCUUUUUGGUGUAAUUCUUUUGUUUUCUUUUUCUUUUUGGUGCAUCUCAAUUGGGAAGCUUGAGAGCUAAUUUAUAGCUCUCAAGCAACCUCUCAAAUGCUAAGUUAUCCGAUGUGGGAUUUGUAAAUUUUGCCAAAAAUCAACAAUAUUGGCUUGAGAUAGUCAAUAAUGUUGGCUUUGAAUUCAAAUGUUGCCUUUGAAUUCAACAAAUCUCCACCUUGGCAUAAUUUCUAGUCCCACCAAAAAAUACAAACCUUCUCACCCAAACGGUCCUUGCGAUGCUUCCAAAUUUGCGCCGUUAGGCGCCAACUCAAAUAUGCAGGAUAUUGACCAAGUCUAAACAAUGUUCAAACUUGGACCUUGUAACCACCUUGGUCAGCAUAUCUGCAGGAUUCUCCGUAGUCCGAAUCUUCUGAAGAAAAAUCUCCUCUUCUUCGAGAAUUUCCCGCACAAAGUGAUAGCGAACAUCAAUGUGCUUCGUUCUUGCGUGCAAGACUUGGUUCUUUGCUAAGUGAAUAGCACUCUGACUGUCACAAAACACAUCAAUGUGUUUUUGACCAACUCCCAAGUUUUCAAGCAAUCCUUGAAGCCAAAUUGCCUCCUUCACAGCUUCUGUAAUCGCCAUGUACUCUGCCUCCGUUGUUGACAAAGCCACCGUUGACUGCAAAGUAAACUUCCAACUGACUGGCGCCUUGGCAAAUGUGAACAAGUAGCCAGUUGUAGAACGUCGCUUAUCCAAAUCACCUGCAUAGUCAGAAUCACAAUAUCCAACUAUACAUUGACCAAGUGAUUUAUCCUGCUCAAAUACUAAUCCAACAUCUACGGUAUUUUGGAUAUACCGUAGAAUCCAUUUCACAGCUUGCCAAUGACCCUUGCCUGGAUCAUGCAUAAACCUGCUUACCACACUAACUGCCUGUGAAAUGUCGGGUCUCGUACAUACCAUUGCAUACAUCAAGCUACCAACUGCAUUAGCAUACGGGACUUUCGCCAUGUAUGCUCGCUCUUCAUCCGUCUUUGGAGAUAAUAGGCUACUAAGUUUCAAAUGAGGAGCAAGCGGAGUACUUACAGGUUUUGAAUCUUCAUUCAUGCCAAAACGUUGUAGUACCUUCUUCAAAUACUGCUUCUGUGUCAGACAAAGCUUGCCUCUCGUUUUAUCCCUACUUAUCUCCAUGCCGAGAAUCUUCUUGGCUUCUCCCAAAUCUUUCAUCUCGAACUCUUUACUCAACUGAACCUUCAAUUUGUCAAUUUCAACUUGGCUCUUUGAUGCUAUCAGCAUAUCAUCAACGUACAAGAGUAAGUAGAUGUAGGAAUCAUCUUGUAGCUUGCCCAAAUACACACAGUGAUCAUAUUUGCUUUUUGUGUACUUCUGACCCAUCAUGAACUGGUCAAAUCGUUUGUACCAUUGCCUCGGUGAUUGUUUCAAUCCGUACAACGAUUUGCUCAGUUUACAAACCCAAUUUUCUUUACCAGCAACUUUGAAUCCAUCUGGUUGAGACAUAUAGAUUUCCUCCUUCAAGUCACCGUGAAGGAAUGCGGUCUUCACAUCAAGUUGAGCUAGCUCCAAAUUCAACUGCACUACCAAGGCCAACAAAAUUCUAAUCGAGGAAUAUUUAACAACUGGAGAAAAUACCUCAUUAUAAUCAACUCCCUCCUUCUGAGCGUAGCCUUUAGCCACCAAUCUUGCCUUGUAGCGAACAUCAAUCUUGUCAGGAAAUCCUUCUUUCUUUGCGAAUAUUCAUUUGCAUCCAAUUACCUUCUUGCCCUUCGAUAGUUGUGUCAACUUCCACGUCUUGUUCUUCUGAAGAGAUUGCAUCUCUUCUUCCAUAGCAUCUUUCCAUCUAUCAUUUUCUGUAUUUUGAACUGCUUCAGAAAAUGUGGAUGGAACAUCAUCAAUAACUGGAAGUGCAUAAGCCACCAUGUCAACAAAACGAGCAGGUUUAUGAAUUUCUCGUCUUGCCCUAUUGACGGCAAUUGACUCUUGCUGCUGUUGAGGUUCUUGGGUUGAAACCUCUUCCUCAUCUGACUCCUCUUCUGUCAUGGGAGAGUCACUGAUGGUGCUGUUUGCUAGACUCACCACUAUUUGCUCAAACUCCACCUGUUUCGGCGUACACUCCACCUGUUGCGGAGUACCACUGGUUCCAUCUUGUGUUACCUUAUUCAACAUGGCAGAUUCAUCAAAGGUAACAUCCCUGCUGAUAAUGGUUUUCUUUGCUUCUAGACACCACAACCGGUAUCCCUUAACUCCAGCACUAAAGCCCAUAAAGAGAGCCUUCUUUGCACGUGGAUCCAAUUUUGAUUCAUUUACAUGAUAAUAUGCAGUAGAACCAAAAAUACGCAAAGAAUCAUAAUCUAUUGCAAGUUUUCCAGACCAUACCUCUAAUGGAGUCUUGCCACCGAUUGCAGUUGAUGGCAAGCGAUUGACGAGAUGUUGAGUGUAUGUCACAGCCUUAGCCCAAAACUUUCUGCCUAACCCAGCAUUAGACAGCAUGCAACGUACUUUCUCUACUAGUGUCUUGUUCAUACGUUCUGACACCCCAUUCUGCUGCGGUGUUUUUCUAACUGUGAAGUGCCGAACUAUGCCACAUUCUUGGCAUAUCUUCUGGAAGGGAUCACUCUUGUAUUCUCCACCGUUGUCUGUUCGGAGAAUCUUGAUCUUUCUUCCCAUCUGGUUUUCAACCUGAGCUUUCCAUUUAAGGAAAAUCUCUAGCACCUCAUCCUUGCUUUUCAUAGUAAACACCCAAACUCUUCUGGAAAAAUCAUCAAUAAAAGUGACAAAAUAAUACCUGCCACCAAGGGAUGGAGUCUUGGCAGGUCCCCACACAUCUGAGUGCACAUAAUCUAAAAUACCCUCGGUAUUAUGGAUACCAGUGCCAAAUUUCACUUUUCUUUGUUUUUCCAGCACACAAUACUCACAAAAUUCUAAUUUGCAAACUUUCGUACCUUUCAAUAAUCCUUGUUUGGCAAGAUUUUGCAAGGAUUUUUCACCAGCAUGUCCCAAUCGCAUGUGCCACAACUUUGUUGCCUCUGCAUCUUUCUUGCUACUGGAAGAUGUUGCUGCUGCUGCUGUCCCAACAACUGUACUACCUUGGUAGUAAUACAGGUUAUUCUUCCUCACACCUUUCAACAUCACAAGUGCUCUCGAAGUUACUUUAAGAAUUCCAUCUCGCAUCUUCACUUCCAGGCCUUUUGACUCCAAGAGUCCCAAGGAGAUGAGAUUCCUUUUCAAAUUCGGCACGAAUCGAACAUCCUUCAAGAUUCUGGUAGAUCCAUCAUGAUUACGCAGCUUGAUUGAUCAUAUCCCAACUGUUUUACAUGGAUUGUCAUUUCCCAUGUACACAACUCCACCAUCAAAUUCUUCAAAUUCAAAGAACCAUUCCCGUAUGGGAGACAUAUGGUAGGUACAAGUUGAAUCCAAAAUCCACUCAUCUGGAUGGGAUGUUAAAGGUGAUACAGCCAAAGAGAAAUCUGAUUCCGCAUCACUUUUGCAUUCUGCAACAUUUACGUAUUGCGGAGCUUUCCCUCUCUUCUUUAACUUUGGACAGUCUUUCUUCCAGUGCUCUUUCUCACGACAGAAAGCACACUCAUCUUUGGCAACUCUGCUUUUCGAUUUGGACCUUCCUCUUCUCCCCUUUGAUUGGCUUUGUUGACGACCUCUUGCCACUAACGCUUCAUCUGCUGCAACUACUUUCUUUUUCAUUUUAUCCUGCUUUCUCAAUUCACGACUAUACAAAGCAGAACAUACAGCAUCUAAAGACACAUUUUCCUUCCCAUGAAGUAACGUAGUUUCCAAAUGUUCAAAUUCAUCAGGAAGGGAUGAUAACAACAUCAAAGCCAAAUCUUCAUCUUCAAAAUUUACAUCUAAAUUAAACAGGUCUGCUACUAAUUGAUUAAACAUAGUGAUGUGUUCAUUCAUAGUAGUACCUGGUUGGUAAUCGAAUCGGAACAAUCUUUUCUUCAUUAGGAGUUUAUUCUGACCACUUUUCUUCAGAAAUUUCUCCUCCAAUACCCUCCACAAUUUCCAUGCAGAAGUCUUGUUCUUGAAAGCAUAUUUUUACUCUUUGGACAAACACGAUCGAAUAGUUCCGCAUGCCAACCGAUUUAUGGUACUCCACUCCUUCUCUUCUAUGUCAUCUGGUUUCUUUUCUUCAAUGGCAAUGUCAAGACCCUGUUGGAAAAGGGAGUCCAUGACUUCGCCUUGCCACAUGCCGAAAUGGCCAGUACCGUCAAAUGUGUCCACCGCCACCUUCAAACUUGACAUUGGAAUUCUCGACCAUGUGGACGAGGAAGCCGACGCCCCAGAUAUAAUUCUUGACGUGGAAUUGUCAGAUGCCAUUACAGACUCAAAUGAUAGUAUUCAAUAUAACAAAUUACAAACAAGCCAAAGGACGAACCUUCGGCUCUGAUACCACUUGUUGGGGAAACCGGGUAAUUUCCCACUCAAAAAUACAACUAGUGAUUAAACCGAUUCAGUAAUUCUCAGGAAAGAUCGUCGAAACAAUCUCCUUAGACAGAAUUACCAUUCCAAAUAAAUUCCCAGGUAAGGCUGGAGGGGUCACAAGCGGUCCCACUUAAAACCCAGUCUCCUAGACAGAACUUACGUGCACGGUGUAUUAUCACAACUAUACCCGUGUGUACAUAAAUAAUACGUAAACACGAAUAAGAAAAUACACCCAAAAGAAUCGUAUAAUACACUACAAAUAAACCCGACAAAUAUAUUGAAUACUAUACUAUAAUUGAAAAGAAACUGUUAAAUAAAUGCGGAACAAAAUAAAAGAGAUAACGAAAGAACGCACCCGAAAAUUGAUAACGGAGUUCGGCCAAUUUUGCCUACUCUCCGAGCACCACUCAAGCAGUCCGCUUUUAUAAAUUUUGGGAGAAGAAAGACUUACAAAAGAAUUACAAAAUCCUUUUUGGUGUAAUUCUUUUUUUUUCUUUUUCUUUUUGGUACAUCUCAAUUGGGAAGCUUGAGAGCUAAUUUAUAGCUCUCAAGCAACCUCUCAAAUGCUAAGUUACCCGAUGUGGGAUUUGUAAAUUUUGCCAAAAAUCAACAAUAUUGGCUUGAGAUAGUCAAUAAUAUUGGCUUUGAAUUCAAAUGUUGCCUUUGAAUUCAACAGAAACAUACAUAAAACCGUGAAACCCUUCAAGUUCAAAGGUGCUGUAAUUAUAUAUAUUGACCCCCAAAUAAUUGAAAAUUCGUAUUGUUACCAUCACAAUAAUUCCCUUUGCCCUGCAAUCCAGGUUAAAGUUCCAUGCCAAGUCUCCUUCAAUCUUUCUCAUGGCAAAGUCUUUGUGGAAAAAGAUGGUGCAUGUGGAACACGCUUCCACGUUAUUCACGGGCAGCCAUGUUGGUGGUCAGAAAUUCGCAAUCUGCUAUUGUUUAUCGAUUUCUACAAAGAAAUGAAUAGAAAUCUGAUAAAUCAAGCCAAAUUUAGCAUCGGCAUUUCUUUUCUCCUAAGCAAAUGCCAUUUAUGCAGUUUUUCCUACCUUACAAAUGUGGGCAUAGAUGUCUCAGAUUAUCCUGACACUUCAGUUUUCCCUCGUUCUAGAAGUAUAUUCACAGUCUGAGCAUGCUUUGUUUUUUAUUUUAUUUUAUUUUUCCUGCAAUGUCAAUUAUUUCACUUUUCGCUAGCAUUAGUUUAGGAUUUGAGAAUCGAUUCAAAUCAGUUACAGUACCAGGCAUUUUUUUCCUGCUUUAGGAAGUGCGGAACGCGGGAACAGUUUAUGGAGCCAGCAUAGGAAUCAGACCAGCAGAAAAUCCAUGAUAAAGAGGAAGUGAAGAUGACUUAAUGGUUAAGGCAAAAUGGGACAGACAUAUACAAAACUCAGCGUCUAAGCGAUCAAUUGAUUUCAAUCCUUCGCGAAGGCUGCAAUUUUGCUCAGGUAUUUGAGUGCGCUGUCAAGAAAUACGAGAGAAAUGGGUGUCUUACUAAAGAGACGUAAACCUGAUAUGGCCUCAAUUCAGUCCAUGGAACCUGGAUUGUCUGAUGCUGUGAUUUUGACCUCCUGCUGCUGAAAUAAUUCACAUUGCAAAGACUAUUGCACAAGGAAAAAAAAAAAAAAUACUGUGACUCAAAUAAUCCACUUGAAUUUUGCUCUUCUUAUCUCAAUUACAAGUGCUCAAUGUAAUUGCAUAGACAAAAGGCAGUGACAACUGACAAGUUCCUGGGCAGUCGCUUUAAAGGGAAAAAAACAAAAAAUGUAAGAAGAACACGUAUAAAUAUGUACAAACUGUUGGAGAAUUGAAUAUCCAUAUGUCAGAGUCAGACAGACCAGCGUUGUCUCCUCCGUGUCAAUUAUUAGCAACUGCCAAUAAUAAUUAUAAUGUCGCGCAAGAUUCUGCUCCGUAAUGACUAUGAAUUUGGACAUUUAUUAGGAAGACAAAUCUGGCCGGCUUUUCUUUCCAAUUUUUCAGAAGACAAAUCUGGCUUUUCUUUUACCUAAAUGUCCCUCACUUAACGUAUCCACAUCAAACUAAAACACCCCCCCUCUGGACGUCGAAAUCCCACGCCCACCAACCAACCAGUGCCAGAAAUUAUUAUUAUUUGUUUCGUUGUAUAAAUGAUUUUAUGAUUCCAGCUUUGCCCACGCGUCAUUGUUGGACGUAAAACUCCUCCAUCUUUCUUCUUCAGCAUUUAUCAAGUGGAUGCUUGGCUUCUUGUACACAAUUGAAUCCGAGUCUACAAAACCAACUGCUCUGGGGAUCAAAUACGACGGACUCUGGCAAUCUUCAUCUCCAUCUCCAUGCAUCGAAGAUUCCCCCGAAACAUUGUUGUAGGCCCUAAAUGACCCACUUCGACGACCAUGUGAUUCACUGAAUUAUAUGAUUAAGUUUGACAACUAUACCUUUGUCUUCUUCGCUUCCAACAGUCCAAAAGAACUAAAAGUAUGUACAUUAAAUACAGAAGUUCUUCUUUUGAACAAGUUCCUGAUGCAUGGAAAAACGAAGCUUGUAUUCUUUGACAAAAGGAUCGGUGCCUAAACAAAUAAAAUUGUUCUUUGCCAAGUUCAAACACACAUACUUUAUCAUAUGCAUUUUCUGCUGAUUGCUUCAUCUAUUAUAAUUUAUAGCAUACAUAAUUGAUGAGUAAUGGAGAGGAAAACAAAAGCAGUGUGAGCCUCCAUAGCAAUGAAGCCGAAAAACUAUGCAUGCUAGCGAGGCUUUUACUAGAGCGUAGUAUGUGGAUAAAAUCUGGGAUUUAUGCUUUUGUUUCUCAAUAUCUUAAAUUCAUAAACCUCUUUUGCUCAAAAUAAAUAAAUAAAUGAAUUCAUAAUUAAAUUCAAACAACAAACAAGAUUUUUUGCUGUAUUUUUGAGUUUGAUGGACCCAAACCAUCAUCACAGGAAAAUCUUCAAGAAAUUACUCGACAACAAAAACCCACGAGAAAAUCUUCAGGAAAUUGAUUAAGAGACAAAGGGGAAAAAAAAAAAACCUUUUAUUUCUCACGAUGAAGAUGAAGGCUGCGGCUUUUCUACUCUCAUGAAUCUUAGGCCAUUGCACACUUUAGACGAAACAGAGGGACUCUCAUGGUUGUCCCAUGCGGCUUACUUGUCACAUACAACUACCGUACUGCCUGACAACUAUUGUACUGACUACUACGUACAAGGGACUGUAUCUCAUGUUGUCAUCAUACAAACUGAAUAAUAACUUACACUACGAAUGACACCUGGCUCUCUACUAACUUAACAUAUACUAAUACUAAAGCAUAAAAGCGUAAUAAGGCUUGAUUUAAUAAUUUCUUUACAGAGUUUCAAACUAAAGUUUGAUGUUGUUCUUUUAAUAAGUAAUAAUCUUGUGUUUGAGUAUAAAUAGUAUUAAUCUUGUAGUUGGAUAUUAGAGCUGAGGUUUGUUCUAUAGAAAGGUGUGUAGUAAAUUUAAGGAGUUUUGAGAAAUAAAAAAAAAAAAGAAGAAGAAAUUGAUAAGAAAAGGCAUAGGUAAAGUCCUGCCGGCUGAGGAGAUGAUAUCUUCUCUGCUUACACAUGCAAUCUACCUAGAUACACUUAAAAAAUAGAUUAAAAAGGUUAAAAUAUUUUAUGUACAAUUAAAAAGAUGUACGAAUUGUCUGACCUAUGGCCGCCGAGCAUUAUAGUACGAACUACAAACUGCAUGAGAAAUGUGCAGUACAAAUUGUCUAUUUUCUUAUAAGUUUUCCGUCUGUAUAGUAUCGUAGUACAACCAAGUAGUACAGACAAUUGAAAGCUAAACUGCUAAAGGCCCCAACGAUCAACAAGCCUACUUAUAGUUAUAGGGGUAUGCCAAGUUUAUACUGAUUAGUACUAAUUCGGAUGUGGGCUCUCAGGAAAGAAUAAUUAUCCUUUCGAAAGGCGAAAGAUGAGAAUGAUUCAUUUGAAGAUUAUCAAAGUGUGUUGGUGACUUUCGUGCGGAAACUGGAGAGUGGUUUUGUAACCAUUGGUGCUAUUGAAACUCACCUUGCUCCCAAAUUCGGGUUUUUGGUGUUUUUUUUUUUCGAAUUUUCUGUCGAGGUUCAAAAUUUCUUGCAACUUUCUUUCCAUUUCCAAUAUGCCGUAAAUUGUAACAGCAGAUGGUUUUCUAUUUCAGUAUGAGACUGUGUAUUAUGGUCACAGCACCUCUCUUUGGACCAAAAUCACCAACACGCUUUCGUGAUCAUCAGCCCUACUCAAAUUCUCUCAACUCCUCAUCCAUUCUGAAGCUGGAGGAUGUUUUCUCUGUGCCCAGCACAAGCAGGUAAAAUUUCCGAAUUGCCAUGUGUUAAUUUGUUGCACGAAUAUAGUUUACUUGCUUGGAUCUGUCAUUCGGAAGCAGGAAACAGGGAAUGGAUGAAAGAAUUCAGGGGCGCAACGGAUCUUCUGUCCCACACCCUGUGCCACUCUCUAUCCCACUUUUUAUUAUAUUGCUAUUUCUCCUACAUAAACAUUAUAUUUUAGUUCUUUUUUAUUUUUUAAAGAUCCAAUAAUUAUUAAUUGAGUAAUAUACAAAAUUUAACAAACUUAAAAUAUUAUAAAAUAAAUACAGCAACUUCAAUAACUAUUAAUUGAGUAAAAAAUAAAUACAACAGUUUCAAAAAAGUAAUAUAUAAUAGAAAAUUAAAAAAGACAGCAAAAAAUUCAUAAAAAAUCUCAUUUAAUAGUUAUUGAAAAAUCAUGAUAACAUUGAAUUGUGGUCCUAAAUAUCAAUUAGUAAAAAGUCACGGGACUGUGUGUGUUGUCCAGAGGUAAGACUGUGACAUUGCCUAAAUAUCAAUUAGUAAAAAGUCACGGGACUGUGACCUGGCCAAUUAACCACUGAGUCUAGCUCAGUGGCCAUCAGGAAGGGAUUUAAAUCUUUUCUUGGGUUGUAGGUGAGGAUUCAAAUUUUAUCUGUAAAAAAAAAAAAAAGUUCUAAGGGUUGUGUCAUAACACUUUCUUGGUCUAGUUGGAUUUGUAUAUCUACUGGCCCUUGACACAAGCCUCCUUAGACUCCUCCUCCCCCUAAAUUAGAAUAGAAUAUGUUAUAUCGUUGCGAGGAAAAAAAAAAAAAAAAAGGACCGACCCAUGCAGAGGCUAGUUAAAAAAAUUUGAUUUUUUGAGUUUGUUAAAUUUUGUGUAUUACUCAAUUAAUAGUUAUUGAAUCAUAAGGAAGCAAAAAAGAACUAAAACAUGAUGUUUAUGAAUGAGAAAUAGCAAUAUAAUAAAAAGUGGGACAGAGAGUGGCACAGGGUGUGGGACAGAAGAUCCGUUGCGCUCCAAAUGGCAUACCGAUCAACUGUUGCCCUCCCUCCGCUGCGGGUAGCAGUGAUUAUACACCUUCUGCUCGCGAAGUCUACACAAGAAUGCCGGCUCACACGGUCAGCCAUGACUACGUCAAAAAAUAUUCAUCUGCCAUUGCAAAAUGAAGAACCUUUCUCUGAGCGAUCCUCGUAAUUUUUACCAACUAGCAAACGUCCAUUGCGUGUACUGUGACGAAGGGUACUCUCAAUUGGGCUUUCCAGACAAAAAAUUGGACGUUCAUAACUCAUGGCUAUUUUUUCCGUGGCACAGAUGGUACCUUUAUUUCUUCGAAAGAAUUUGUAUGAUGUUACGUUUACUCUGCCAUUUUGGCACAGAUGUUACGUUUACCCGACCCCUGUUGGUUGCCAUCAAAUCUUCUUCUGUUGUUCUUUAGUGCGACUGCAAUAGAAUGAUACCGUAUGGGUUACGGUCUCAGUAGUCGCUGACAUUGAUAAGAAAAACAAUUGAACUCAAGAAGCAAGUAUGAUAUCAUAAAAUGUGAAUGCAAAAGGCAACAUUAAUUCGCCAUUUUUGUGUUCCACUUUUGCAACUCGAAUGUGAAUGCAAAGCUACGUAUUCCAGUCCAGAUUUACCAUGAACACACAUCAUUGGAAAUGAAAAUUUCAGUUUAUAAGAAAAAGAUAUUUGGUAGGCCAAAAACUUGUUCAAUAAUUGAAACAAACAAGGGGAGCUUAGGAAAUUUCCGGGCCAGAUAUGGGUACAGCACUUUCUUCUCGUCCCUUUGCAUAACAAUUCAAGCUUAGCAAUGAAUUUCUAGUCCCUAUCUUGAUCAAGGAGUCUGUUUGUAAGGUGUGUUUUUUCUGGUGUUUGUAUAAACUUUUACAGUAAUUUAUUGUGAAAGUUGAACAAAUUUUUUUGUAUAAAUAAGAUUUGAAAAAACUGAAAAAUUUUCAUGAUUUUUGCCUUUUGUUCUCCAUUCUUUUUUUCCCCCUUUCCUUCCUCUUUCUUCUUCCUCUCCACUCCUAUUUUGAUCUUCCUCCUCCCUCUCCAUUAUCGCCACCGCUGGUCGCCACCUCUCUCUCUCUCUCUCCCCCCCUCUUCAUCCUUGCCCCAUCCAUAUUGAUUAUAAAGUAUAAAUUCGUUAUUUCAUUUUAAAAUGUGGUGUGGCAGUCAAAUUACUACAAUGGGACCAUCAGCGGCCAUAACUAUCUCUCGUUAAAAUGUAAUUCAAAUAUUAAUAUUUUAAAAUAUAAAAUUAAAUAAGAGAAAUUUAUAAAUGCCAUUAAAUCAAAAAAAUAUCACUAAAGUAUGCAUAAAUUGCCAUUUUUUAAUGUCAUUAGAAAAGAAUUUUCUUCUAGUGUACAAUUAGUAGUGAAAUAAAGAAUCUUAGGGAAAUUAUUUGAAUUGUUUUCAUUUUCUUCACAGAGUUACUGUCCCAAAAUUACUAAAAAUUUUGGAUUGUGAUCUUUUGGACAUAUAUUUUUACAUUUUUUUCCACACAAUUUCCAAUCUCUUUUUUUUUUUUAAUCUUACAUACGUCACAUCCUUUAAAAAAAAUACUAUAAUAAUUUUUUUUCCAAAAAUUCUCCAAAAAAUGCAAUCUAAAUGGGGUCUAAUUAUUUCAAUGAAUCAUACAAUUUCAGGGUACAUCCAGACAAUAUCAAAUUGUGGGAUGAAUUUUACAAUCAUUAUUGAAAUGACACUAAUGGUCACUUUACUUGUGGUCCUUGAAUCUUAACCCAAUUAUGCAAAAUCUACAAUAGACAAUUGAAAAGGUGUCUGUGGGCCAUCAUAUCGCGCCAACUGAUCCACGUAUGUGCAUGCAUUUGUCCAAUCAAUGGAUAUCUUUAGAUAACUUUUUUUUCCAUUAAACCCUCGGCUAGCCCCAGGUGGUUUAGGUAACUUGUUUUAGAAAUUUUUUUUUAAAAAUAUCAAUUACGAAAACACUUUAAAACAAUCACACAAUUUGAAAAAUAUACAAGAAAACAUGAAAUAGGCACUGAUGGUGGGAGUAGGUACUGGUGGUAGGUGGAGUUUGCCGUGGUCUGUGAUGGGUGGUGGCCUGGUGGGGGAGGGGAAAAUAUUAAUUUUGAAUUAAUAUUAAUAUUUUUUAAAAAUAAACAUAGUAAAAUUUUAAAUAAACACUUUCAUUUGGAUUGGUCUACUUUUUAAAAACUAAUUUUUCAAAUACAAUGUUACAGUAAUACAAAAACAAAAACAAUUUAAAAAAAUUUCAUUCAUACAAUAAAUCAAAAACAACUCACAAAUAUACACAAAAAAUUUUAAAAAAUUUUACAAUAUUUUCCACUUAUCACUACCACUCGCCACCGCCACCACUGCCACCACUACCACCCUCUUCCUCCUCUCCUCGACCAGAUCCAGGGGAGGAGGGGAAGAUUGAAGGGUGGGGGGGGGAAAGGGAGGGGAGGAGGAAAAGGAAAGAGAAAGGAGGAGAGAAAGAGUGGUGACGGUUGUGGUUGUAGGUGAUAGUAUUAAUUUUUAAAAAAUAUUUUAAAAAUAUUUUAAAUUUAAAAAGUACUUCAAAUUAUAUUUCAAAAACUCCUCCAAAAAAUCACAAAAAAAAUUUUAUAGUAAAAAUUUUUCAGACACACUACUAUAGUAAAAUAUUUCAAAAAAAUUCCAAAAAAUAACUUAUCCAAACGAACCUAUAAUAUCCAAGCAGACCGUCAUUGAACAAGUUCUGCUUUUUUAUUCGCUGCAUUUAUGCUCAAUUAAAAGAUUGCACUGAAAUAUCAAAACUAUAUUAUCUAUUUUCCUUUUCUUCUCAAAGGUAUUGAAAAAGUUUUUUAACUUAAUACUUUGAACGAAAUAUCAUAUUAUAUCAGAAUAAUCCAAACAAUACAAAAUUGGCUAAUUGAAUUUUUUUAUUAUUACUCAAACCACUAUAAUUACUUUGCUUGUGGUCCUUUAUUCUCCAACAACACAUUAAAAAACAUACGCUCCAUUUGGAUUAACUAUUUUUGAGAGUGUUUUUGAAAUAUUUUAUUAUAGCAUUGUAUAUGAAAAAAUUUUAUUAUAAAUAUUUUUUGAAAUAUUUAAUAUAUUGUAUGAAUGAAAUAUUUUUUGAGUUAUUUUUGUUUGUAUAUUACUAUAAUAUUGUAUUUAAAAAAUUUGUUUUUGAAAAAUAGGUGAAUCCAAAUAAUUGAUAAGAGAAAAAAGGGAUCCUAUGGGCUAUAACACCACACGAACUUAUCCAUGCAUUUGUAGAGUUCUGCUGUCCAGUCUCAGCAUUUAUCCAUUUAUACAUUAUCGAAAGAUUUCUUUCUGCUCUCCACUAUCCACAUUAAUUAGACUAUCAUUCUCGAAUGGGUUUGGACAGGUGCGUUUUAGGUUUCUAUGCAAAUUUUUUUUUUUUUUUUUGUCGCUCCUAGAAUUUAAUCUAAUCUAAUCGAGGGGAGGAGGGGGAGGGGGACUCGAUGUGACUCCAUCGAACAUGACCAAUUAAGAUCGUCAUAAAUUGUAACAAUUUUUGGGUGAGAGGCAAGGAUCGAACCCUUAACCUCCCGCACCACCAAUACUUUUAAAGGCUUCUAUGCAAUUAUUUGAUUGUGUAUAUUUUACACAAUCUGGCAUACACUAAUAUUAUUAAUUUAAUAUAUGAAUAAAACUACAUUGAUAAACAUACACCAACAUCUAAAAAAAAAACAGAAAAAUGAUAUUAACACUUCCAAAAAAGUUUCUAACACUCCAUCCUCCCUUUAAAACAUAUAGAAACGAUGUAUUGCAGGAAGAGCACAAAAAAGGGACGGAAUGGAGGAUAGAAUGCUCGGGACUCUCUUUUUUUUUUUUUUUUUAAGUGCCAAUAAGAUCUCCCAAAAAGUAUCAAACCUCAAUUGUACUUGCUCCAAUUCCCUUCAAAUUGUGUAGAAUGUUAUUGAUCCUAU